AUGGCUUGGUUGAGUUGGGAUAAAAUGAGACUCCCAAAGUCCAAAGGUGGUAUGGGUUUCCGUGACAUGCAUGCAUUUAAUCAAGCAUUGCUUGCAAAGCAGGCCUGGCGACUACUUAAUGUUCCAGACAGUUUGUGUGCUCGCUUAUUACGUGCGAAGUACUACCCCAAUGAGAACCUGUUGGAUGCAGUUUUUACUGCAAAUCCUUCAACUGUAUGGAAGGGUAUUGAACAUGGUCUAAAGCUGGUUAAAAAAGGGAUCAUUUGGCGGGUUGGAGAUGGUUCUUUGAUACGGACAUGGAGGGACCCUUGGAUUCCCCGUGGCCAUAAUUUCCGACCCGCUACACCUAAAAGGAAUUGUCGAUUCAAUCGGGUGUCUGAUUUUGUUGAUGAGAAUUGUGCAUGA
Molecule: ribosomal RNA, 405 nt
Filed under: Triticum aestivum (bread wheat)
Lineage: Eukaryota; Viridiplantae; Streptophyta; Magnoliopsida; Poales; Poaceae
Description: partial small subunit ribosomal RNA
Source: RNAcentral